UACGUAGGGUGCAAGCGUUGUCCGGAAUUAUUGGGCGUAAAGAGCUUGUAGGCGGUUUGUCGCGUCUGCUGUGAAAUUUCGGGGCUCAACCCCGAGCUUGCAGUGGAUACGGGCAGACUAGAGUGUGGUAGGGGAGACUGGAAUUCCUGGUGUAGCGGUGAAAUGCGCAGAUAUCAGGAGGAACACCGAUGGCGAAGGCAGGUCUCUGGGCCACUACUGACGCUGAGAAGCGAAAGCAUGGGGAGCGAACAGG
This 253-nucleotide ribosomal RNA is filed under the name uncultured bacterium. Its description in RNAcentral is "partial 16S ribosomal RNA". It matches the Rfam family "Bacterial small subunit ribosomal RNA", at positions 524 to 776 of the family's 1533-position model. The record is from RNAcentral.